Symsagittifera roscoffensis is the source of this 1205-nucleotide long non-coding RNA. RefSeq lists it as uncharacterized. The record is from RefSeq and is a predicted model, not a curated record. NCBI's taxonomy places the organism in Eukaryota, Metazoa, Xenacoelomorpha, Acoela, Convolutidae. The transcript is spliced from 2 exons.
UCAUUGAUAAAAUAUGUUCGAGCAAAAUUGAGAAAAUGGUUUGUUUUGCAGGCCACGCAAUUUUGUCAGCCGCAGAAAAAAUCAGCUUAACUAUGAAAAAUUAACCAUAUGUUGAAAAUAACUAUGACAACAUUGUAACUGCAGCAUUUUGAGCAAUGUUUUGAAAAAAAGUAACAAAAACGCGCGUGUGAAAAGUUGGUUUAAAAAAUUUUGAGCGUGCACAUUUUUCAUAUAUUUUUAUUUGGUUUGUUGUUUUGGUAGUUCGUCAAAAUGCUUACGUUUAAUGUUUUACAACGUCGUUUACAGUCUUUUCUGUACAUUUUUGCUGUUUUAUCAUUAAUAUCCGUAAUUGGAUUUAUUAUCACAGGCAUUUUUGAAUAUGCUCUCAGACUGCAUGACUUUCAUGCUUUUGACCUUCACCACAUAAAUAUUGCCACAGUAUCCUACUUGGUAUGUGGCAUCAUGCUGAUCGUGGGUACCGUGGUUGGACUUUUUGGAAUCCAUCCACCUGCGAAGGAACACCUGGUCGAAAUCUAUAAGUGUGUACUGCUCGUGCUGAUUGCUUUGCUGAUCGGCGUUGGGAUUUUCUCGUUGUUAACUAAAGAUGACGCGGGAAAAGUUUUCUGGGACAGUGUGAAUCAGAAAAUGAUACAUUACCCAAACGAUACAGAAGUGAAAAGGGGUUGGGACAGAGUACAGGAAGACUUCAAAUGCUGCGGGAAAUCGGGCCCCGGAGACUGGAAGGUCGUGUUUAUUCCGGGCUAUCAUGUACCAGACUCCUGCUGCAAACAGAGAACUGAAGGUUGCGGCGAAACUCUGAGCAGUUUCAAUGAUACAAAAAUCAACCACGAGGGCUGCGCAGAUGUGGCUGGAUCCAUUGUUGAGAAUUAUUUGUUCCAGAUGAGCUUGAUUGCUGUGGUUUUUGGGGCUCUGCACUCAGUUGGGGUUAUAGGUGUAUUUCUGUUCACACGCAUCCUCACGAACGGAGACUUUUCUGUGUCACUAAAUUUCUGUGACAUUAACGUCAGAAAUCUAAGGGAAAUAGUGCCUGAUGAUGAUUGAUGAAUCUACUGAAAACUUACAAAAGACAUCUUAAAAGCUUAAAAGAAGGAACUGCUCAAUUAAUUAAUAAACUUUAAUCAUUGCUCUUUUGUAUAUUAUUUUAUUUUAAAUUUGAACUUUACAAAUAAACUAUUGGAAACGAC